RNAcentral lists this ribosomal RNA (1241 nucleotides) under metagenome. RNAcentral's name for it is "bacterial LSU rRNA". It matches the Rfam family "Bacterial large subunit ribosomal RNA", at positions 1564 to 2815 of the family's 2925-position model. The record is from RNAcentral.
UGAAUACGAGAUGCUACGGCGUCGAAGCAGUCUAUGUCAUACUUCCAAGAAAAGCUCGCACUGUCAUAAACAAAUAAUGCCUGUACCAUAACCGACACAGGUGGGUAGGUAGAGUAUACUAAGGGGCGCGAGAUAACUCUCUCUAAGGAACUCGGCAAAAUGACUCCGUAACUUCGGGAGAAGGAGUGCCUUAUUUAUAAGGUUGCAAUAACAAGAUCCAAGCAACUGUUUAUCAAAAACACAGGUCUCCGCUAAGUCGUAAGACGAUGUAUGGGGGCUGACGCCUGCCCAGUGCCAGAAGGUUAAAGAAGUUGGUUAGCAUUCGCGAAGCUGAUAACUGAAGCCCUGGUGAACGGCGGCCGCAACAAUAACGGUCCUAAGGUAGCGAAAUUCCUUGUCGGGUAAGUUCCGACCCGCACGAAAGGCGUAAUGAUUUGGAUACUGUCUCGGAGAGGGGCUCGGUGAAAUAGACUUGUCUGUGAAGAUGCGGACUACCUGCACCAGGACAGAAAGACCCUAUGAAGCUUUACUGUAACUUGAGAUUGAAAUUGGACUUUACUUGCGCAGUAUAGGUGGGAGGCGUUGAUAAUAUUCUUGCGGGAUUAUUUGAGCCAUCAGUGAGAUACCACUCUUGUAAUGUUAGAUUUCUAACUUUGUAUCAUUAUCUGGUCAAAGGACAGUUUCAGGCGGGCAGUUUGACUGGGGCGGUCGCCUCCUAAACGGUAACGGAGGCGCACAAAGGUUUCCUCUGAACGGGUAGAAAUCGUAUCUAGAGUGUAAAGGCAUAAGGAAGCUUGACUGUGAGACCUACAAGUCGAGCAGGGACGAAAGUCGGUCUUAGUGAUCUGACGGUGCUGAGUGGAAAGGCCGUCACUCAACGGAUAAAAGUUACUCUAGGAUAACAGGCUGAUCUCCCCCAAGAGUUCACAUCGACGGGGAGGUUUGGCACCUCGAUGUCGGCUCAUCGCAUCCUGGGGCGGUAGUACGUCCCAAGGGUUGGGCUGUUCGCCCAUGAAAGCGGUACGCGAGCUGGGUUCAGAACGUCGUGAGACAGUUCGGUCCAUAUCCGGUGUAGGCGUUAGAAUAUUGAGAGGAGCCUUCUUUAGUACGAGAGGACCGAGAAGGACAUACCUCUGGUGUACCAGUUAUCGUGCCAACGGUAAACGCUGGGUAGCUAUGUAUGGAGUGGAUAACCGCUGAAAGCAUCUAAGUGGGAAGCCCACCUCAAGAUAAGUAUUCUC